Molecule: transfer RNA, 71 nt
Filed under: Xylariaceae sp. FL1651
Lineage: Eukaryota; Fungi; Ascomycota; Sordariomycetes; Xylariales; Xylariaceae
Description: tRNA-Gly
Rfam family: tRNA
About the family: Transfer RNA (tRNA) molecules are approximately 80 nucleotides in length.
Source: RNAcentral
GCAUCAGUGGUUUAGUGGUAAAAUCCAUCGUUGCCAUCGACGGGCCCCGCGUUCGAUUCGCGGCUGAUGCA